Molecule: long non-coding RNA, 4420 nt
Organism: Musca domestica (house fly)
Lineage: Eukaryota; Metazoa; Arthropoda; Insecta; Diptera; Muscidae
Exons: 2
Source: RefSeq, a predicted model, not a curated record
UCGAUCAAUCAUGGUGAGAUAGUAUCUGAAAUCCUGUACUUGUGGCAUAACAACGAUGUCUAAAUGCACAUGAUCAAAUCGAUUGUCUGGAACAUCGAUUUCGUUCGGAGUUAAACGAUUAUGUCUGGUAAUCUUCGCUGUUUGACAAUGAAGACAUCGACGACAAUAAUCGAUUAUGUCUUUUUUAAUUCCGGGCCAGAUGUACCUUGUUCGAAUUUGCUGUAGUGUUGAACGACCGCUAGGGUGUGAAAGUCCGUGUGUAGCGUUGAAAAUUUCUUUGCGCAAUGCUUUUGGAAUGUAUGGACGGACAUGUCCCGUUGAGAUGUCACAAUAUAUUGACGUAUUUCCGAAGUGAAUUAUUUGCAGCUUCAAAGAAUUGUUACCUUCAAUGAUAGUUUUUAACUCUUCGUCGGAUUCUUGAGAUUUUUGAAUGUCUUCGUGUGAGACGCUUGAAGGCAUUGAGAUUUCGUUGAGUCUUGAAAAUGCAUCUGCAACGGUAUUGCUAGGCCCAGAAAGAUAUACUAUAUCUGUAGUAACUGAGAUAUAAAAUCUAAAUUUCGGAGUUGUCUGGGCGAUGCUUUUUAAUGUCGUUGAGAGAAUGCGUAUUUAUGAUGACGAAAUGUCGUGCUUCCAGCAUAUGUCGAAAAUAUUUCACAGCUUUGUAAAUGGCGAGCAGUUCAUGAUCGUAUGUGCUGUAUGCUUUUUCGGAUUUUAAUAACAUACUCGAGUAAAAUCUUAGAGGUCUCCAUGUACCGUUGAAGUUUUGUUCUAAGACGGCACCGACGGCAGUGUCUGAUGCAUCCGUUACUAAUGCUAGUUCUAGGUCUGGAGCUGGAUGUCCAAGCAUUGUGUCUUCACAAAGGCUUUGUUUGCAGGUCUCAAAAACGGUUUCUAAUUCCGGUGCCCAUGGUACUUUGCGUUUGUUGUUUUUCUUGGAGUUCCCAACGAGUUCGUUUAAGGAUGCUUGUUGAUGUGCUGCGUCUGUAGUAGUUUAAGACACCAAUAAAACGACGAAGUUCGCAGACGGUUUCUGGCUUCUUAUAAUUUUUGAUAGCCUCAAUACGAUCUGUAGGCGGAGAACAACCAUUUGCGUAAAUUACGUAGCCAAGAAGUCUUACCUCAGGUACACCAAAAUGACAUUUGUUCGGAUUAAUGGUGAGUCCAUAUCGGAGUAAAAUUUCGAAGACUGUACGAAGAUGUUCUCGAUGUUGUUGUAGAGAUUCGGACAUUAUGAUGAUGUCAUCAAUGUAACAAUAAACGAAGUCAAUCCCUCUGAACACGUUGUCCAUGAAACGUUGGAAGGUCUGUGUGCCGUUCCUUAAACCAAAAGGCAUGUACAAAAAUUCCAACAGUCCGAAUGGUGUACAUACUGCUGUUUGUGCAAUGUCUCCUUCAGCCAUUGGCAUUUGAUUGUAGGCUCUGGCAAGGUCAAGGGUAUUAAAAAAUGACUAACCAUGCAGGUUUUCAGAAAAAUCGUGUAAGUGUGCCACGGGUAAAGGUCUGGAACUGUUUGUGAGUUGAGUUUGCGGUAGUCACCGCAGACGCGCCAACCACCAGUUUUCUUCGCGACCAUAUGUAUAGGACUAGCCCAAGCACUCUUUGACGGACGACAAAUACCUUGUUCGAUUAGAUACUCCAUUUCGGCUUUAGCUGAUUUUAAUUUAUCAACUGAAAGACGGCGUGGACGAUCGGCAACUGGAGUUCCUGUUGUUUCGAUGUGAUGAACGACGAUCAAUUCAUAUGUUGGCUUCCGAAGCGUUGUCGUUUUUGUAAUAUCUUCAAACUCCCUUAGCAGGUCUGCGAAGGAUGAUGCGGAAUUCGAAAUUCCAAACUCUUUGGUUUGUAAGAUUUCACCACGAGUGGAAUCUAUAAGAAAUCGGGUAUUUGUUGAUUUGUCGUAAAGAAGUAGACGUCUUUCACGUGUGUUGUUGUUGUUGUCGCUGUCGCCAACCGAUUUGACUGACGACAGCACAGUUAGUUUUCCGACUGAAAUCUUGCACAAUCAGGUUUACAUUUUCUUGCGUUGUCGCCAAAUUUUUUAUGGAAAUAGCAUAAAUUCCGUUGGUUUGAAUUGAAUUGUUGAACGAUUCCGGGAUUUGGAACGAUGUCGUGUGUUCUUACCAAUUUGUUGUUGAAUUUUAUCAACUUUCUCCGAAAGUUCUCUCAUAGUUUGGCACAUAUCGGUGAAAGACAUUCGUUGGUUAAUGGCAUCAACAACUGGUUGUAGCGAUGAAGGAAGAGAAUUGACACAAUUGUUAUUGUUGGCUUCAAACAUUUUGUCAGCGGUCUUCGCCAAUUUCUCAAGGCCUUCUUCCUCCCAGGCGGUAAGAAAAGGUCUCAUGUUUUCAGGCAUUUGUCCAAGAAACAGUGUUCGGAUGAUUGCCUCAUUGCCUUUACCUGGAGCAAGUCGUUUCAUGUGAGCUAAAAUUGACGUUGGCUUCAUGCUGUUCGUUUCACUACCUUGUAUUAAACGUCGCAGUUUUGACUUGACAAAUUUGGAAAUAAUUCUGUCCUUAAGCGCAGAAUAUUUGUUCGAGUUUGGUGGAUUUGUAAUAAGGUCUUCAACUGUCAACAAUGCUUCGUCUUCAAGACGGACACACACUAGGUCGAAUUCGUCGUUAUCCGAUGUUAUGCUGCAAAAAGCAAAAGAACCUUCAACUCGUGCAAACCAUAAAUGUGGGUUCCGUUCGUUGAAUUUAGGAAUGUGCACCUUUUGUUGCUGUGCACGCUGCUGCUUUCGAAAAAUUCAGCUUCUUCUUCACUACUGUGGGAGUCCGGUUCUUUAUAGGUGACUGGAAUACGUUGUCUCAGUUUGUGUGUUGCAUGAUUCAUAAGUUUGCAAAAAUGUUCUUGCAGGCUGGUUCUGAGAAACGAAAUGCCCGUUGAAAUUGAUGUUGAUCAAAAUUGAGCAUGCACGUUCGUUUGGUGAGUGCGUGUGUACGACUGUGUUGUGAAGUUCUACGAAUGUUUCCAAAAUUUGCUUGUUGCAAAUGUUAUUUUUGUUUGUCCGUGGACGAGGUAGUUGAAGAAUUAAAACACAGCAGUUAUCUAAACAACUCUCUAAUAACUAUUUUAUUUAAUAUUAGUUCAACAAAGACAAUAAAAGUAAUUCAAUUUCAACAAGGUCGAUUUGCCACAACUAUGGUGGUGUAGAUUUAGCGAGCAACUAACUAAAUUAGAUUUAUUAGUACAUAUUUCUAAAUGGUGUUUAAAUAAUAGAUAUUUUUCCAUAUAAAUUGGCGUCAACAUACUGGCCUACAUGAUGAGUAUUUUGGAUAAAAUUGUAGAAAAAAUAUUUCAAAUGUAAGUUCGAUAAAAUUGAGUUCGAUGUCUUUGUUCUUUUUUUAUUUACUAUUAUCGAUAUUUCGUUCUCAGACGGAAGACAUCAUCGGGAACAAUAAUAUUUAAACCGGAACUAUUUCAAAUUUAGUAUUUGAAUUUCAUAAUGAAUACUACAGCCUAUGACAGAAAAUUGUGCAGGUCCACGUCUUCGUGUAGUCCCCAUAUAACGGUACCCACCGAUAUUCGGUAUUUUGAUGAUUUUGGCUACAUUAUUCACCGAUAUUUUUUAAGUUUCGUAUUUGAAUAUUGUCAUAGCUUGUGACACGUCGUCGUAUAGACCCUAUUGUACGGCAACAUUCGGUAUUGUUAAGAUUUUAAUAAAAUUUUUAACGGAUUUUAUUUUUUUGAAAAUUGCCAAAUUCGUACCAAAUGGUGGAGUUCAUUCAAAGUUCGGCCCGGUCGAACUUACAGCUUUUUUACUUGUUUCUUCUAAAAAGACACACUAGAGCACGUAGUUUACUAUAUAUUGAUAAGACAAAUUUUUAUGAUAACUCCAUAUAUGUUCAAAUUGUGUAGAAAUCGUUUAAUUGCCAAUAUUUCAAUUUAGCAUGCUCCUGGUAUACCAAAAGUUCUUGUGGGCAAUAGACUCCAUUUGGCAUUCAAAAGGCAAGUUGCAGCAAAGCAAGCGGAACUAUAUGCUUCGCAAAAUAAUAUGUCAUGUUUCGAAAUAUCACCACUAUGUGAUCUCAAUAUAAGGGAAUCAUUCUGCGAAUUGGCACGUCUGGUUUUGCAUAGAAAUGGAAUGGAAAAAAUAUGGUGUAAUAUUUUAUCACUUCACGAGAUAGUGUCGAACUAUUGUGAGACGAACAAGUGUAUAUGCUAUUGAAUCAUUGUCAUUGCCUACAUCUGUAACAUCGACCUUAAAAUCAUAUGUACUUACAAUGUCUCAGUGUUUUAAUACAUUAAGUAGCACAUCAAAAAACAAAAAUCGAUGCAAGGCGCAACAGUUGCUAUAUUAAGUGAUUUUAUCACAUAAGAAAUAAUCUAAAUAUACAUUUUUUGUAGUCAUAAAAUAUAUUUUCUUUUUAAUAACAACUCAAUAGAAACCACAUGAUUAUAUGAUGGGGUUUAUUUACAA